GAUGAACGCUGGCGGCGUGCCUAAUACAUGCAAGUCGAGCGAACAGGCGAGGAGCUUGCUCCUCUGACGUUAGCGGCGGACGGGUGAGUAACACGUGGAUAACCUACCUAUAAGACUGGGAUAACUUCGGGAAACCGGAGCUAAUACCGGAUAAUAUAUUGAACCGCAUGGUUCAAUAGUGAAAGACGGUUUUGCUGUCACUUAUAGAUGGUUCCGCGCCGCAUUAGCUAGUUGGUAAGGUAACGGCUUACCAAGGCAACGAUGCGUAGCCGACCUGAGAGGGUGAUCGGCCACACUGGAACUGAGACACGGUCCAGACUCCUACGGGAGGCAGCAGUAGGGAAUCUUCCGCAAUGGGCGAAAGCUUGACGGAGCAACGCCGCGUGAGUGAUGAAGGUCUUCGGAUCGUAAAACUCUGUUAUUAGGGAAGAACAAAUGUGUAAGUAACUAUGCACGUCUUGACGGUACCUAAUCAGAAAGCCACGGCUAACUACGUG
RNAcentral lists this ribosomal RNA (497 nucleotides) under uncultured bacterium. RNAcentral describes it as "partial 16S ribosomal RNA". It matches the Rfam family "Bacterial small subunit ribosomal RNA", at positions 28 to 507 of the family's 1533-position model. The record is from RNAcentral.